GUCAUCCACCUCCCAGGAAGAUCCUUAAGAGGCUCUGUUGCUAAUGUUUACCAACUGCUUUAAUAACUUAGGAUUAACAAGGGCAGAUCUGAAAGAAGAAGCUGGGCUGGAACUUGGAAGGCUGUCAGAAAUCCAGCCUGGCAAGUCUAAUGGUUUGUUUUCAACCUUUAUUUAACCACUUUCUGCUAUCAAGAAAACUAAAUUGGACUUUGGAAAAAAGCUAUCAAGACAUUUGGCAGCUUUACUAUGCCCUUUGUUCCAUGGAAAGGUCUAUGUGGCCCAGAACUGAGGUCUCUGGCCAACAGUCAUGUUGAAGCCAUGAAGUGAGAAUUGUAAUUCCACCGCACUCCCUGUUAUGAUGCCCUCAGAGAGGAAAGCUAAACGACCAUGAUCUGAAAACCCUGGAAACAAGUUUGGUGGUGCUUCUGUCAGUUAUUCCAUCACAGUGAUGAAAAACUGACUUAUCAAAAAGGCAACAUCCAUCACCCUCUGGCUCAUAAACUCAUGUGCUGCAUCUCAAAGACAACAGUUCUGAAAUUGUCACAAAAUUUUUGGAGAAUUUUUUUUUUUAAUUUUCAAACUUCAUUUUUUUUCAUAUAAAAUGUGUAUGUAAAAUAAAAAUGUAACAAUUUUCAAUAAAAUGUAAUU
Molecule: long non-coding RNA, 648 nt
Organism: Mastomys coucha (southern multimammate mouse)
Lineage: Eukaryota; Metazoa; Chordata; Mammalia; Rodentia; Muridae
Exons: 3
Source: RefSeq, a predicted model, not a curated record